Molecule: ribosomal RNA, 277 nt
Filed under: uncultured prokaryote
Description: partial 16S ribosomal RNA
Rfam family: Bacterial small subunit ribosomal RNA
Source: RNAcentral
UACGUAGGGGGCUAGCGUUAUCCGGAAUUACUGGGCGUAAAGGGUGCGUAGGUGGUUUCUUAAGUCAGAGGUGAAAGGCUACGGCUCAACCGUAGUAAGCCUUUGAAACUGGGAAACUUGAGUGCAGGAGAGGAGAGUGGAAUUCCUAGUGUAGCGGUGAAAUGCGUAGAGAUGUGGAGGAACACCAGUGGCGAAGGCGGCUUCCUGGUCUGUAACUGACACUGAGGCGCGAAAGCGUGGGGAGCAAACAGGAUUAGAUACCCUGGUAGUCCCUGAG